GGUUUAUUCGAAGCACGCGCAGAACUUACCAGCCCUUGACAUACCGGUCGCGGACACAGAGAUGUGUCUUUCAGUUCGGCUGGACCGGAUACAGGUGCUGCAUGGCUGUCGUCAGCUCGUGUCGUGAGAUGUUGGGUUAAGUCCCGCAACGAGCGCAACCCUCGCCCUUAGUUGCCAGCAUUUAGUUGGGCACUCUAAGGGGACUGCCGGUGAUAAGCCGAGAGGAAGGUGGGGAUGACGUCAAGUCCUCAUGGCCCUUACGGGCUGGGCUACACACGUGCUACAAUGGUGGUGACAGUGGGCAGCGAGCACGCGAGUGUGAGCUAAUCUCCAAAAGCCAUCUCAGUUCGGAUUGCACUCUGCAACUCGAGUGCAUGAAGUUGGAAUCGCUAGUAAUCGCGGAUC
RNAcentral lists this ribosomal RNA (405 nucleotides) under Brucella anthropi. Its description in RNAcentral is "bacterial SSU rRNA". It matches the Rfam family "Bacterial small subunit ribosomal RNA", at positions 943 to 1350 of the family's 1533-position model. The record is from RNAcentral. Lineage: Bacteria; Pseudomonadati; Pseudomonadota; Alphaproteobacteria; Hyphomicrobiales; Brucellaceae.